This 464-nucleotide ribosomal RNA is filed under the name uncultured bacterium. RNAcentral's name for it is "bacterial SSU rRNA". It matches the Rfam family "Bacterial small subunit ribosomal RNA", at positions 330 to 792 of the family's 1533-position model. The record is from RNAcentral.
UCCAGACUCCUACGGGAGGCAGCAGUGAGGAAUAUUGGUCAAUGGUCGGGAGACUGAACCAGCCAAGCCGCGUGAGGGAGGAAGGUACAGAGUAUCGUAAACCUCUUUUGUCAGGGAACAAAGACUGGGACGCGUCCCCGGAUGAGUGUACCUGAAGAAAAAGCAUCGGCUAACUCCGUGCCAGCAGCCGCGGUAAUACGGAGGAUGCGAGCGUUAUCCGGAUUUAUUGGGUUUAAAGGGUGCGCAGGCGGAGGUGCAAGUCAGCGGUCAAAUUGCGGGGCUCAACCCCGUACUGCCGUUGAAACUGCAUCCCUUGAGUGCGCGAGAAGUAUGCGGAAUGCGUGGUGUAGCGGUGAAAUGCAUAGAUAUCACACAGAACACCGAUUGCGAAGGCAUCUCACGAAUCCGCGAUUGACGCUGAUGCACGAAAGCGUGGGUAUCAAACAGGAUUAGAUACCCCUGUA